GAUGAACGCUGGCGGCGUGCUUAACACAUGCAAGUCGAACGAAACACCUUAUUUCAUUUUCUUCGGAACUGACGGUUUGGCGAUUGAGUGACGCACGGGUGAGUAACGUGUGGGUAACCUGCCCUUUACAGGGGGAUAACAGUCAGAAAGGACUGCUAAUACCGCAUAAGACUACAGCACGGCAUGGUGCAUUGCUAAAAAUUAGGGUGGUACAGGAGGGACCGGCGCCUGUUUAGCUGGUAGGUGCGGUAACGGCACACCAUGGCGACGUUCAGUAGCCGGCAAGAGAGAGUGAACGGACACAUUGGGACUGGGACGCGGCCCAAACUCCUACGGGAGGCGGCAGUGGGGAAUAUUGCACAAUGGGGGAAGCCCUGAUGCAGCGACGACGCGUGAGUUAAGAAAUAAUGCGGUAUGUAAAGCUCAAUCAGCAGGGAAGAAAAUGACGGUACCUGACUAAGAAGCCCCGGCUAACUACGUG
This 481-nucleotide ribosomal RNA is filed under the name uncultured bacterium. Its description in RNAcentral is "partial 16S ribosomal RNA". It matches the Rfam family "Bacterial small subunit ribosomal RNA", at positions 28 to 507 of the family's 1533-position model. The record is from RNAcentral.